This 410-nucleotide ribosomal RNA is filed under the name uncultured bacterium. RNAcentral's name for it is "bacterial SSU rRNA". It matches the Rfam family "Bacterial small subunit ribosomal RNA", at positions 360 to 773 of the family's 1533-position model. The record is from RNAcentral.
AAUCUUGCGCAAUGGCCUAACGGCUGACGCAGCGACGCCGCGUGUGGGAUGAAGCUCUUCGGGGUGUAAACCCCUUUUCUGCGGGAAGAAGGUGGGGCAACCCACGUGACGGUACCGCAGGAAGAAGGACCGGCUAACUACGUGCCAGCAGCCGCGGUAAUACGUAGGGUCCGAGCGUUGUCCGGAGUUACUGGGCGUAAAGCGCGCGUAGGCGGCGGUGCUGGCCCGGCGUGAAAGCCCCCGGCUCAACCGGGGAGGGUCGUCGGGGACCGCACCGCUUGAGGGCGGUAGGGGCUGGUGGAAUGCCUGGUGUAGUGGUGAAAUGCGUAGAGAUCAGGCGGAACACCCGUGGCGAAGGCGGCCAGCUGGGCCGUCCCUGACGCUGAGGCGCGAAGGCGUGGGGAGCGAAC